Artibeus jamaicensis (Jamaican fruit-eating bat) is the source of this 104-nucleotide small nuclear RNA. The record is from RefSeq and is a predicted model, not a curated record. Lineage: Eukaryota; Metazoa; Chordata; Mammalia; Chiroptera; Phyllostomidae.
GCUCCCUUCGGCAGCACAUGUACUCAUGUUGGAACGACACAGAGAAGAUUAGCAGGGCCCGGCGUGAGGACGACACACACGUCCGUGAAGUGUUCCAUACUUUA